RNAcentral lists this unclassified non-coding RNA (381 nucleotides) under uncultured cyanobacterium. Its description in RNAcentral is "contains 16S-23S intergenic spacer region". The record is from RNAcentral. Lineage: Bacteria; Bacillati; Cyanobacteriota.
UCCGGUUUGUCACCGGCAGUCUGGCUAGAGUGCCCAGCUUGACCUGUUGGCAACUAACCACGAGGGUUGCGCUCGUUGCGGGACUUAACCCAACAUCUCACGACACGAGCUGACGACAGCCAUGCAGCACCUGUCACCUGGCUCCCUUGCGGGCACUCCCCUGUUUCCAGGGGAUUCCAGGGAUGUCAAGCCUUGGUAAGGUUCUUCGCGUUGCGUCGAAUUAAACCACAUCCUCCACCGCUUGUGCGGGCCCCCGUCAAUUCCUUUGAGUUUCACACUUGCGUGCGUACUCCCCAGGCGGAUCACUUAACGCGUUAGCUACGGCACUGGAGGGGUCGAUACCCCCAACACCUAGUGAUCAUCGUUUACAGCGUGGACUAC